Long non-coding RNA from Xiphophorus couchianus (Monterrey platyfish), 1638 nucleotides. RefSeq lists it as uncharacterized. Lineage: Eukaryota; Metazoa; Chordata; Actinopteri; Cyprinodontiformes; Poeciliidae. The transcript is spliced from 3 exons. The record is from RefSeq and is a predicted model, not a curated record.
CACCAGCUUACUCAUUUGGCUGAAGAAUACAGGAGGUUCGGCAAUCUAGAUAAUAUAUCAGGAUUUCCUUUUGAGAAUUGUCUUGGUCAAAUUAAGCAUCUUCUACGCAAGCCACAUCAGACACUACAACAGGUAGUUAAAAGGUUGUCUGAAACCUCACAUGUUGGACCCACAUGUUCUAGAGAUUAUCCAAAGUUGCUUAACAUCCACAUUGAUGGUCCAGUCCCCACACAGUUUAUUUCUUCACAACAGUACAGGAAGGUCUCCACUCAUCGGUUUACUUUGUCCACAAAGAAAGGAGACAAUUGUGUUGAAGUUGGAGAUGGAUUUGCAUUAAUAGAGAAUAUUAUUAAAUCAGAAGAGGAUACAUAUAUAAUCGUCAGAAUGUACGGACACAAACAGCCAUAUUACAUGUAUCCCUGUGAAUCAUCAUACAUUGGCACAUACAAAGUCAGUGGCUUGAAAGAAAAUAUAGGGGUAGUUGGACUGGCCUCUAUCAAGCGCAAAUGCCUUCUCUGUCCAGACAUGGAUGGUGCCAUUGUAAUACCACUACUUCAUUUAGCAUAGUCAUGCUGCCCUGCCAAAGUGCAGUAUCUGUAACUGAGAUGUAUAUCAUGGCAUAAAUUACCUAAAAAUAACAUUUAUCUAAUUCUUACCUGUGCAAAUAACAUGUUUGACUGGCCAAAAACUACAAUGUCUGUAGUGCACUUUGGCUUUGAAGAGUGAAAUGGGGAUGACCUGUAAGGAGAUAUCAUGAGUAGUUCUCAUUUCAUCCCUAGCCCUUCGAAGAUGAGUAGAGAGGCACUGUGGUCAGUUGUACAGUUCCCAAAUGGUGGGACAGCAGUAGUUCUAGAGAGCUGGUUUAAAGCUGAGGAACAGACGCUGUUAUGGCCCCCAAAACACAUAACACUCAAGAAAGCCCUUCGAGACGGAAUGCAACCAGACGACAAAUGGAUCACCUAUACGGAUGUACGAGUCCUCAUUACGUGUGAGACCCUUGAUGAGGCGAAAAAACGAGAGACAAAAUAUAACACCACAAUGUGUCCAACAUCUGAAAUUGAAUCUCAUGAUGAAGGAGCUAUCCGCCAAAAAAGAAUAUCCAGGCCAAAUCAGCAGUUUAUGCAUUCUGAUUCUGAAGACCAUCAGAGUAGCAGUGCAAAAAGAAAGCGUUUUGCCAAACCACCUGAUGUUGGAUGUCCAGGUAUUGUUUCCUUUAUAUUGACACUAUGCUCACUUCUACACAGUCAAAAAAGAAAUUACAUAUAACAGUGUACCAAUAAAAGGACAUUUUAAUUUGAUUGAAAUUGUGUUUCUUGCUGAAAUUGUGUAUAGUUUUAGCACUUAGAGCUAAAACUAAUUGUGUAUAGUUUUAGCUCUUAAUUAUUUCCUAUUUUUCUUAGUAGAUCUUGUUGCUAGCAACUACCAACAAUCACUAGCUGAUGAAGUUCUUAAUGGUGAGUCGUCAAGCAGUCUCAUAAGACUGUGAUGUCAAAGCAAUGCUUUAAAUAUAGAGCAGUCAGCUGAAUGUAAGUCUCACAUUUUCUCAUAUGGAAGGUUACAGUAAUAACCUCACUGCUUUGUGUAUUUCCUACUUUGUGUUCAAGCUGAGAUGCCAGGUUUUGCUACAGCCCACUGUGU